RNAcentral lists this ribosomal RNA (492 nucleotides) under uncultured bacterium. RNAcentral's name for it is "partial 16S ribosomal RNA". It matches the Rfam family "Bacterial small subunit ribosomal RNA", at positions 28 to 507 of the family's 1533-position model. The record is from RNAcentral.
GAUGAACGCUAGCUACAGGCUUAACACAUGCAAGUCGAGGGGAAACGGCAUCGAAAGCUUGCUUUUGAUGGGCGUCGACCGGCGCACGGGUGAGUAACGCGUAUCCAACCUGCCCAUCACUUGGGAAUAACCUUGCGAAAGUAAGACUAAUGCCCAAUGACAUCCCACGAAGGCAUCCGAAUGGGAUUAAAGAUUUAUCGGUGAUGGAUGGGGAUGCGUCUGAUUAGCUUGUUGGCGGGGUGACGGCCCACCAAGGCAACGAUCAGUAGGGGUUCUGAGAGGAAGGGCCCCCACAUUGGAACUGAGACACGGUCCAAACUCCUACGGGAGGCAGCAGUGAGGAAGAUUGGGCAAUGGGCGAGAGCCUGAACCAGCCAAGUAGCGUGCAGGAUGACGGCCCUAUGGGUUGUAAACUGCUUUUAUAAGGGAAUAAAGUGGGUCACGUGUGACUUUUUGCAUGUACCUUAUGAAUAAGGACCGGCUAAUUCCGUG